ACAGCUUUAAAUUCUCUCUGGACUGAAACAGAACUCUAAUGUAAAGUUCAGGUGAAAUUCCACACGUCCAGUGUUCUGCUUUGUGUCAUCAGACGUAGAAGGAGAGAAGAUGCGGGUUCCUCUGCUCCUCGUGUGUCUGUUAGCUGUGGGUUUAUCUGCUCCGCUGCACAAAUACAGAGGGAGGCGUUCCGAGAGCUCAGAGGAUGAUGGGGGCGAUUCUGAAGAUGGGAGCAAUGAAGGAGGAGAAAAGACGAAAACAGGGAAAGGGAGGAGAAAGGGAUGGAGAAGGAAAAGAGAAAGAAGAGGAAGGAGAAGGUGGAAACAAUGAAGAUGGAGAGCAGGGUGGAGGAAAUGAAGAAGGAGGUGAAGGAGAGGAAGGAAACAGGGAGAACAACGAGGAGAAGAAGACGGUGAGGGUGAAGGUGGAGAAGUUGGUGAAGAAAGAGAAGAAGGAAGAAAGGGUAAGAGAGAAAAACAGAAGGUGGGGAAAAGGAGGAGAUGGUGAGGAGAAGGAGCAGAAGGUGCGGAAGAGGGGAGGGAGAAGAAGGAGAGAAUAAAAGAGAGAGGAGAGUAAUGAGGAAGAAAGUGAAGAGGAGAUAGUGUUGAGGAUGAGGAUGGUGGAGAGAAAGAAGGUGAAGAUGAGGGCACUGGAGGUGAAGAUGAAGAUGAUGGAGGUGAAAAUGGUAAUGGAGGUGAAGAUGUGGGUGAUGGAGAUGAAAAUGGUGAUGGAGGUGAAGAACAGAGCAAUGGAGGUGAAGAGGAAGGUGAUGGAGGAGAACUUUAAACAGGACCAGGUCCUCUCUGACAUCAAGAGAGACGGAGCUGAGGGACAGAAGCCCCACACACUCCCGUGUAUAAAUGCGGCACUUUUGACUUAUUGUGUAUAUUUAUAUAUUUACCUUGUCUAAUUUCUAAACGGUCCUCAAUAUGUUCCGUAUCAAACGUGUAAAUAAAUGUCUAAGAGACUCUGAUGCUCUGAUGUUUGUAACCAUUCACACAUUACACAUGUUUAAUUCAUUCAUUGCAUAUUGUAUGUCACUUCAAACAGCUGUAGCUAUAAAAACAGGUCAUUAUAAACCUGUCAAUCAUCUUACAGCUGGCAGUUAUACAGAAACACACACAAAAACACACACAUGGGUACAAUAAGAAAAUUCUUGCUACAUACACACGUUUUGAUAAGAUAAACAUCUGAUCUCAUCUCAGGUGCUCACAAGGUUUUAUACAAACAUCUAGAUGAAAUGUGAUACAAUAAAGCACUUCUUUGUUUCUGAAAGUAAAAUAAUUUAUUGGAGUUCGUCUCACCAGGCUUCUGUCGUCAUCCCAUCAUCAAUACAAUCACAAACUCAGAGCAUGAACUCCAUGAGAUCCACAACACCACACCACACAUCAUCUCUCUGAGGGAGAGACACAGCGGUUCAGCACUCUUGACAUUACUGCUACAGAGGAAGUGAUGUCACACAGGACCCAGACGCGACUCGAUUCUCCUUCAUUACUGGUACAACGGAACCCAGUGAUGUCACCAGUGAAUAGCAGAUGCUGCUUUCUGAUUGGACGACAGUAUGACUGUCAUAAUUAUGAUGGACACUGCCCUCGAUAAUCACUGCUUCAAUUAACCAUGUUAUCACUCAGUAAUAAAAAUUAAUUACAGCGUAAUCAUCACUGUCUAUCAGUCACCAACUAACAAGAGAGGAACACAUACGAGGUGGGAACAAAAAGUUUCGAGACUAAUUUUGAAACUCGCUAACAGAUGAACAGAGAGAACCGACCUUCAUAAAUCAGUGUGCCAAAAUCACCAAUCUCCUCCUCACACGUGAGUUUCUUGCCGGAAACAACAUGCUCCCACCCUACUCAUCAGAUGUAGCUCCUGCAGACUUUGCCUUCUUUCCAAAGGUGAAGAUCCAGUUCUGUUCCAGAAUAAAACUGUGAGAACUGUAUUACUGUUCAGGGGAACUAUCCUAAAGGUGAUCGUGUAGAAACUUAGAUAAAUAAAAAGUAUUUAAGAUAAAACUUUUUUGUAAACAGAGCGUGUUCAAACUUUUUGAU
Molecule: long non-coding RNA, 2043 nt
Organism: Silurus meridionalis
Lineage: Eukaryota; Metazoa; Chordata; Actinopteri; Siluriformes; Siluridae
Exons: 5
Source: RefSeq, a predicted model, not a curated record